CCUACGGGAGGCAGCAGUGGGGAAUAUUGCUCAAUGGGGGAAACGCUGAAGCAGCCACGCCGCGUGGAGGAUGAAGGUUUUCGGAUUGUAAACUCCUUUUGUUAGAGAAGAUAAUGACGGUAUCUAACGAAUAAGCACCGGCUAACCCCGUGCCAGCAGCCGCGGUAAUACGGAGGGUGCAAGCGUUACUCGGAUUCACUGGGCGUAAGGAGCGCGUAGGGGGGAUAGCAAGUCAGAUGUGAAAGCCUAUGGCUUAACCAUAGAAUUGCAAUUGAAACUGUUAUUCUAGAGUGUGGAAGAGGUAGGUGGAAUGCUUGGUGUAGCGGUGAAAUCCAUAGAGAUCAAGCAGAAUACUGAUUGCGAAGGCGGCCUGCUAGAACAUAACUGACGCUGAUGCACGAAAGCGUGGGGAGCAAACAGGAUUAGAUACCCGAGUAGUC
Molecule: ribosomal RNA, 440 nt
Filed under: uncultured bacterium
Lineage: Bacteria
Description: partial 16S ribosomal RNA
Rfam family: Bacterial small subunit ribosomal RNA
Source: RNAcentral